RNAcentral lists this ribosomal RNA (490 nucleotides) under uncultured bacterium. Its description in RNAcentral is "partial 16S ribosomal RNA". It matches the Rfam family "Bacterial small subunit ribosomal RNA", at positions 28 to 507 of the family's 1533-position model. The record is from RNAcentral.
GAUGAACGCUAGCUACAGGCUUAACACAUGCAAGUCGAGGGGAAACGAUGAGAGAGCUUGCUCUCUUAGGCGUCGACCGGCACACGGGUGAGUAACGCGUAUCCAACCUACCCAUUACAGGGGGAUAACUUUGCGCAAGUAAGACUAAUACCCCAUGGCACUUUAUGGUGGCAUCAUUAUAGGAUUAAAGAUUUAUUGGUAAUGGCUGGGGAUGCGUCUGAUUAGCUUGUUGGCGGGGUAACGGCCCACCAAGGCAACGAUCAGUAGGGGUUCUGAGAGGAAGGUCCCCCACAAUGGAACUGAGACACGGUCCAAACUCCGACGGGAGGCAGGAGUGAAGAAUAUUGAGCGAUGGGCGAGAGCUUGAACCAGCCAAGUAGCGUGCAGGAUGACGGGCCUAGUGGUUGUAAACUGCUUUGAUAGGGGAAUAAAGUGAGCUACGUGUAGUUUAUUGCAUGUACCCGAUGAAUAAGGACCGGCUAAUUCCGUG